AUCCUUGGGCGAUCUUGGAUCUUAAUUAGUACACUCACGUUCUCUGUGGAAAAUCGAUACUCUGAAAUACUCCCGGGUGAAAGCUACAUCGGUAUCCGUGCGCUUGCGGAUUUUUUCUGUUUGCGUUUAAAAUACCCAACAAGAAUAUGAAGCACUGAGGUGUAGAAUGCCUCCAGGGAGGGGGGUCAGCCCCUCUAUUUAUAGCCCUGUGGGAUCAACGUGCACCGUAGGAUGAAACCAACUUAACCAAGGGCCAAGAUGCAUCAAAAGAGGUGG
This 276-nucleotide long non-coding RNA is filed under the name Sorghum bicolor (sorghum). Its description in RNAcentral is "long non-coding RNA (SBIC_LNC012516)". The record is from RNAcentral. Lineage: Eukaryota; Viridiplantae; Streptophyta; Magnoliopsida; Poales; Poaceae.